GGGUGUGAGGGAGAUUUGACCUUGACAUCUGUCGCCCCAUUGAUGGCCAGGGUUGAUUGGGCUGAUCUGGCUGGCUAGGUCGUGUCCUCUUCAACCCUCACUGCUCCACGUCACUGCUGCAUGCUCCUGAAGAGGACGACCUUCCUUAUAGAGGAGGAUUGUUCUUCUGUCAAGGGAAUAGGAGUAGCUACGCGCUCCUGCUAGGACCUCUAAAGUUCUCAAGAAUGGCCAGCACCUUGCAGUGUGCGCUUCUCCAAGUCAGACCUUAUUUUCUCACCCAUCUACAGAGGAAAAAUAGGCUUUUGGAGCUCAAUGU
Unclassified non-coding RNA from Ictidomys tridecemlineatus (thirteen-lined ground squirrel), 316 nucleotides. Its record names the gene 7SK. It matches the Rfam family "7SK RNA". Rfam says of the family: 7SK was discovered as an abundant small nuclear RNA in the mid-70s but a possible function has only recently been suggested. Two independent studies have found that 7SK RNA binds the CDK9/cyclin T complex (known as elongation factor P-TEFb). The record is from Ensembl. Lineage: Eukaryota; Metazoa; Chordata; Mammalia; Rodentia; Sciuridae.